UUUUCUUAUUUUUGUUCGAAUUAGGUAAUGAUGGUAAUUAGUGCAAGAAAACUAAGAAAUGUUUGAUUUUGGCUUGAAUUUUUAUGUUAUAUUUGAAAUUGUAUGAAAAUAAAAGUAAGUGGGGGAAAAAUGAUUAUAUAUUGUUUUAGGUUUAGUCGAUAUGAAUUAUGAGUUUUAAAGUCUCAGCAUGAAAUAUUACAUGUAAAGAUGUACUAAAGUAUGAUGUAGUAAAUAUAAUAAUUCUGAUAAAUAUUUGUGCCAGCAUUCGCGGUUAUACUUUAAGGUUAAAUAAAAAUUUUUAGUUUACAGUUAAACUGUCUUGAUUUUAAAGAGAUUAUAAAUAAUAGCAAGUGAAAUUGAUUAUUAUAUUGUAUGGAAGAUAAAUCUGAGUUGAAGCUGAGAAGAUUUAAUAAGAGACUAGGAUUAGAUACCCUAUUAUUAAAAAAUAAAAUUAUAAAAACUUAAUUAGUGAGAGAUAAAUACUUAAAAUUUAAAAAAUUUGGCGGUAAUUUAAUCUUUUCAGAGGAACCUGUUUUUGAAUCGAUAACCCACGAAAAAUCUUACUUAUCUUUGUUAAUAUUUCAGUUUGUAUACCAUCAUUACAAAUAAUUUUUAGAAAAGUAAAUUAUUAAGUGUAAUAUAUUAUAGAAAUUAGAUCAUGGUGCAGCCUAUAGAUAAGGUAAAAUGGGUUACAAUAAAUUGUUUUAUACGGAUUAGUAAUGAGAAUUGAUGCUAUGAAGGAGGAUUUGAUUGUAUUUGAAGUUUAAUAAGCUUUAAAGAUAUAGGCUCUAAAUUAUGUACAUAUCGCCCGUCGCUUUCGUCUAUAAGCGAAAUAAGUCGUAACAUAGUAGGUGUACUGGAAAGUGCGCCUAG
This 873-nucleotide non-coding RNA is filed under the name Macrophthalmus japonicus. Lineage: Eukaryota; Metazoa; Arthropoda; Malacostraca; Decapoda; Macrophthalmidae. The record is from RNAcentral.